This 253-nucleotide ribosomal RNA is filed under the name uncultured bacterium. Its description in RNAcentral is "partial 16S ribosomal RNA". It matches the Rfam family "Bacterial small subunit ribosomal RNA", at positions 524 to 776 of the family's 1533-position model. The record is from RNAcentral.
UACAGAGGGUGCGAGCGUUGUCCGGAAUCACUGGGCGUAAAGGGCGCGUAGGCGGCUUGAUAAGCGUGCGGUGAAAGCCCGGGGCUCAACCCCGGGUCGGCCGUGCGAACUGUCGAGCUGGAGCACUGUAGAGGCAGGUGGAAUUCCGGGUGUAGCGGUGGAAUGCGUAGAGAUCCGGAAGGACACCAGCGGCGAAGGCGGCACUCUGGGCCGGUACUGACGCUGAGGAGCGAAAGCGUGGGUAGCAAACAGG